CGUUUUCUUAAUAAACCAGUGACCACAGAACAUUCUUUUCCUAGACUGCCUCAGCCUUGGCAAGCUCUGUUCAUAUUCCUGUUUCUUGUGACCCUUUUCUUGUGACCAACCUAGAAGCCAGCAUAACAUAGAAAAGCUCUGCUAACUACAAGAAGAAUGCUCAACACCAUGAAGAGAAAAAUAACAACCCUAGGACAUGGUUCCUUUGCUGAAAACCCUUCCAAGACCACAGAUGAAGAGGAGACCUCCUGUCCUUGGCUAGCUCUUGCUAGAGCCACGUACUGCUCCCUCCUCACUUUUAACUUCUUAAUUUUCUCAGGAAGGUUCCAGGACCCUCGUGGGAAGGAGCUGGGAGUUGUUACUCCGAAGACGUCCCUUUGAAGCACUGAGAGAAUGGGGAAAUGUGGUCAAGAAACAGUGCAUCCAAGAGAACAGGUCAGUCAUUUUACUGGCUACGGAGGAAGAGAGACCUUCACAGCAAGGACGGGCCUGCAAAUGAGGGCAGAAUGGGCAAAAGCAGGCCAAAAGAACAGUGUACUGGGAAGGGCAGAAUCAGGCCAAAUCUAUCUAUGAAAGACCUACUUGCAG
This 588-nucleotide long non-coding RNA is filed under the name Equus caballus (horse). RNAcentral describes it as "lncRNA (ENSECAG00000056268.1)". Lineage: Eukaryota; Metazoa; Chordata; Mammalia; Perissodactyla; Equidae. The record is from RNAcentral.